Molecule: long non-coding RNA, 7853 nt
Filed under: Sus scrofa (pig)
Lineage: Eukaryota; Metazoa; Chordata; Mammalia; Artiodactyla; Suidae
Description: lncRNA (ENSSSCG00055011702.1)
Source: RNAcentral
UUUUUUUUUCUUUUCUUUUAGGGCUGCACCUGCAGCAUAAGGAUGUUCCCAGGCUGGGGGUCGAAUCGGAGCUGUAGCCACCAGCCUACACUACAGCCACAGCAACACGGGAUCCGAGCUGCCUCUGCCACCUACACCACAGCUCAUGGCAACGCCGGAUCCUUAACCCACUGAGCGAGACCAGAGAUCAAACUCGCACCCUCUUGGACACUAGCUGGGUUUAUAACCCACGGAAUCACGAGAACUCCCAGAGGUGUAUAAUCUUUAUGUCCUUUUAAACAGCUGCUUUUAGGAUCAUUUGUUACCUGGCAAGAGGCGACGGACACAAAUUCAUACUUUGUAACAGAACGUGAAUCUCUUCCCAGGAGCUGUUUUUCCCGCUUCCAUCCAGGGCUUCGGUUCUUUCCACGAACGCUCGGCGGACAGCCCGCGGGAUCAACACGGCUUCCACCACCUUUGCGGAUUCGGGCAACCGUUCUGUGAGCCGGAUGCCACCUUCAUGUGACCAGGGAGCCAGUGCUCAGGGAAUCUGAGUGACUGGUCCAGAGUCACCCACACGGGUAGCUGUCUUAGCUUCCCGGCGCUGCUGUAAGCACAGACGUUGGGACUUUCAGUGACCCGGAGUCCCUCUCUUGCAAAACUGUAGAGGUUGGCUGUCCCAGAGAGCGCUUACGGGGCGACAUUCAUGGUGUGGGCAGGCUGGUGUUCCAGGGCCCAUCCGAUCCCUAGUCUGCAGAUUCCUGGUUUCACGGUCCCCUUCUCUGCCUGCAAAGCCAGCAGUGCUGGGCUGAGUCCUUCUCGCAGAGUCAUUCUGCUCUCAUCCUCCGCUGCUUCCUCCCCUUUGAAGAACCCCUGCGGUUACAGCCAGCCCACCUGGAUAGUCCACCAGCCUCUUCCUUUUUUUUUUUUUCUUUUCUUUUUACGGCUGCACCUGAAGCACAUAGACAAGUUCCCAGAAAAAAAAAAAAAAAAAAGGUUGUCGGCCAAGUCUUGGGGUUCUUCCAUUAAAACAGGGACAGGUCUCUUGACUCCAACUCUGCUCACCUCCCAGUGGUCCUGAACCUGCAGGCAGCAGGGUUCCCCAUGAAGAAUUCAAUGUUGCUCCCGACAUAGAAGCUGCAAGGAGUAAUCCAGUCUAGAUCUUAGUCCACUAUGUCCUGACCCUAAGAUUCCCAAAGGGUGAAAACCCCACCACGAAAUCGAACACAAGAACGAGGCAGCUCUUGAAGGAAAACGGAGAAGGGAGGCAGCAGCCAAGGGGCGAGGGGGGCUCUUUACAGGUUGUUGCGGGCUGUGCAGGCAAGAGCCUGCAUGCGGCAGAGCAGAAGUCACUAAGGAGGAAUCCAGCAGCCCCCCGCGGUGCUCAGAGGCUCAGGGGAUGCGUGGGUGUGUAAAGCAUGAGGUCACCCUCAACAGGGUGUCAAACCCACACUGUUGGCUGCAAACCGGCUCCCCACACACUCCUACCAUUGGAACGUGCAUUUCUGCAGGGAAAGCGAGUUCUAAAAAUGGACAAGCUGGUCCAUCUGGCCGCCACCUGUCCUAAAGGAUGCCUGUUUUUAGGAUGGGUGAUGCCCUCCACGGCUUUAGCGGGUGGAACGUCGAGGUGUCCUGUGACUGGUGUACAGACGGGGUGUCUGGUCGGCUGGGGAGAGAAGAUGCUAGAAGCUGGCAGGAAAUACCAGGGUGGGAGUGUAUAAACCACCCAGGAUGGGAACAGGGCAGCUUCCUGGGAACCCAAGGUCUGCCUAGGGAGGAACACCCACUCACACCUGGUGUGGAAAAGUGGGUUUUAUUUGCCCCCCAAGACAAGGAGAACCGACAGGAUGACGCAAGCUGCCAAUGAAGCUCAGCCUGAAGCACAUUUACAGAAAUGCAAAAUCAUUUCUUUCAGAUAUCAGGGACGGUAGGUUACGGGAAUAAUCCACCAGUGAUAAUCAUGAGCGAAUAAAGAAGAUGCGGUACGUGCAGAAAGUGGAAUACUACUCGGCCAUGAAAAAGAAUGAAAUCAUGCCCAGUGCUGCAACAUACAUACCACAGGAGAUCACUUAUCUGUGGAAUCUAAAAUACGGCACAAAUGAAGCUAUCUAUAGAACAGAAACAAUCAAAGACAGGAAAAAAAAGGUAAGGUUACCAAAGGGGAGGGGGAGGGAUAAAUUAAGAGGGUGGGAUUAACACAUACACACCACUAGAUAUAACAUCGAUAAGUAUCAAGGACCUCCUUACAGCCCAGGGAACCCCACUCAAUAUUCUCUAAUAACCUAUAUCGAAAAGAAUCUGAAAAAGGAUGCAUGAGUAUAUACGACUGAGCCACUCUGCUGUACACCUGAAACUAAGACAGCAUUGGUAAUCGACUCUACUGGCAGUAAAACAUGUUUCCUAAAAAGGUCGCCAAAGAGCAUAUUCUUCAGGUUUGCAUGCACUCUGCUUUCUGUGUCAGUGCGUAAUGUAAUAAAAACCCAACGGUGCCUUCCAUGACCGCAUCCGCCCAGCUGUAGUCAUUCUGCAUGAGAGUCAUGACCGCAUCCCCAGAUACAUACGCAGGAGGAGAAAACAACAUUUCAUGAACAAAAAACGGUGAUAAUGAAGGAGUCUUCCAAAAGGGGUGACUUUGUUCCCCAGGGGGUACUCAGCAACGUCCGACUCACUUCCGUUCGUAUGAUCCUCUCUAGGUCCACCCAUGUUGCUGCAAAUGCUAUGGUUUCAUUCUUUUUGACGGCUCAGUAAUAUUCCAUUGUAUAUAUGGACUACAUCUUCUUUAUCCAUUCCUCUGUCGAUGGACACUGAGGUGGUGUCCAUGAACACAUUUUUAAACUAUUUUCAUUUUCAUUGUACACCAGAUGUUAACCUAGGGUGGGUGGUUUUUCUUCUUUGUUUUGUGUUUUCUCCUCUUUGAGAAUUGCCCUUGAUGCAUGAGAUGUCACUUAAAGGAGGAAGGAGGGGAGAGCACGUCCUAGUCCUGCAAGGAAGGUGCCGUGCCACCUCACUGUUAUGACAUCUUGACAUUUUCAGCACUGUACAGAGUUCCCCAUAUAGCUCAGGGGUUAAGGACCUGGUGUGGUCUCAGUGAGAAUGCAGGUUCGAUCCCUGGCCUCGCUCAGUGGGUCAAGGAUCUGGUGUUGACACAGGUAGAGCGUAGAUGACAGAUGCGGCUCAGAUCUGGCGUGGCUGUGGCUGUGGUGUACACCGGCAGCUGAGCUGCAGCUCUGAUGUGACCUCUAGCCUGGGAACUUCCACAUGCCGCGGGUGUAGCUUUUCAAAAGAAAAAAACAAAACAAACCCAAGCCCUGUAGGAUGCAAGCCUCUAGUCCUAGACAGAAUUAAGGGAAAUAUUCCUCCACGCGAGACGGUUUCCGAUCCUUCCCUUGGAGAAAGGGAUGCACACAUAUUCGAUGCUAUAAAAUUAGGGAAAAGCUCUUCCAAGGAGGAGUCCUCUGCUCAAGCCCACGCCGAUGUUCGGGAACGCUGCUCGAGGGCCUUGCAAGGGUCUUGGCCACGUGUGUGCUGAGUGGCCUCAGGCCCCGUGGGUCCGGGAGUGGACGGGCCCUUUGCUGAAACCGCGGGCGGCUCUUGCGUGAGGCGCGCCAGGCUCCGUGCUGUGCGGAAGGCGCGGGGCGGUUCCCCUGCAGCUGCGCUGUGGUCCCGAUGCUCUUGGGUGUCCACGGGGUAGGACCCAGACGUCCACAUCUCAAGCAUCCCAGCAGAAAGGCUUCAAACAUCGUAGUUUCACGCCGGGCUAUCAAGUAAGAGGGGAUGCUAAGGGGACCCAUGACAGAGUCCAAACCGAUCUUCUCCCCCCAACAAAAACUCUGCUCUUGUCCAUCAUCCCUCGGAAACACACACCCUGGGUAUUUGUGGCAACAGGUGGAUCAUGCUACAAUCAGCCCCAAAGGAUGCUCUGUCGUGUAGAUGAGCAAAAGCUCAAUUCGUAUCCGCUUUUAAAAAUACAUAGGCGUUCACGCUGUGGCCCAGCAGUCACGAACCCGAUGAGUAUCCGUGAGGACAUGAGUUCGAUCCCUGGCCUCGCUCAGGGGGUUAAGGAUCUGGUGUUGCCGCGAGCUGCGGUAUAGGUUGCAGACGUGGCUCGGAUGCCACAUUGCUGUGGCUGUGGUGUAGAGCGGCAGCUGCAGCUCUGAUUCAACCCCUCGCCUGGGAACUUCCACAUGUUGGGGAUGUACCCCUAAAAAAACCAAAAAAAAAAAAGAAAAAGAACAUAUAUUAAUUUGGAGGGGCCACGCCCACGGCAUGUGGAAGCUUCUGGGCUAAGAACUGAACCAGCACCACAGAAGCAACCCAAGCCUCGACAGUGACCAUGCCGGAUCCUUAACCUGCUGGGCCACUUGAGAGCAACUCUAUUUUUUAAUUUUUAAAAAAUUUUGUUUCUGAAAUUAUUUUAUUUUUAUUUUUUUGUCUUUUCUAGGGCCGCACCUGCAGCAUAUGAGGUUCCCAAGCUAGGGGUCUAAACUGUCACCCUACACCACAGUCACAGCCACACCAGAUCCAAGCCGCGUCUGUGACCCACACCACAGCUCAGGGCAACGCCGGAUCCUUCACCCAUGGAACGAGGCCAGGGAUGGAACCCACAACCUCAGGGUUCCUAGUCGGAUUUGUUAACCAUGGAGCCACGACGGGAACUCUGAAAUCAUUUUAGAUUUAGAGGACAGUUGCACAGCCUCAAGUUAUAGGAAGUUCCCAUACACCCCUUAGCAGGUCUUGCGCACGUUGCCAUUUCGCAUACCUGUGCUACACCGAUCCAAACUUACACAUGAGGAACACUGGCGAGUUCCCUUGUGAUGCAGAAGGGUAAGGAGCAGGCACUGUCUCUGCUGCAGCUUGGGGCAGUGCUAUGGCGCAGGGUCAGCCCCUGGCCUGGGAACAUCCAUGUGCUGUGGGCAUGGCCAAAAAAAAAGAAAAAAAAAAAGAAGCUGACCUUGAUAGAGUAGUAUUAUAUUACAGAUGUUACUCAAAUCUCAUCUAUUCUCUACAAUAAGAAAGCUAAAAAUUUACUUGUAAAUAUGUAAACGUCUUCCCCAAAUGUUACCUGCAAAAGAAGUGAGAAAGGCAGUGUGGCGGGAAAGGCAUUCACAUGUCCCCACUCUGGCUCGGCUAAGGAUGGCUUUAUCCGAGCCUCCUACGCUCUGCCCCUGGGGGUUGUCGAGGGGACCUGGGGGAGCCGUGUACAUUUCUGCAGACAGGCAUCCCCAUUGCUCCAGAGCAGAGGAUCCAUUUAACUUUUCUGGGAGACUGGGAACCCCCUGGACCAUCGCACAAAAAAACGCUGCGGGCUUCCUGCUCAGGUGUUGCGGCCAAGGGGGACACGGAUGGUGGGAACCAAGCCGCCCCUGGGAAACUACAACAUCGCUGCAAACAAUACAAUGCCAAGUCGGAAAGAUAAGUGCCAUCUGUGUCAGAGCCUGGAUCUUUCUGGUUCCUUGUGGCUUUUGUCCUUCCCCAAGAGUGGACUGUGAUGAAGUCGGUUCUUCUGGACCCACCACACCUACAACGUACAAACCAAUGGCCAUUGCCCGGCGCUGUGCAAGGGACAGCGGUUUGCCAUUAAAGCUACCAACUGCCUGUCCUCAGCUGUGGUCGUCUCCAUCCCGCCCUGCCCCUCAUUCUCUGCAGCCUGGACGUUUCACGUCCUAGCCCACAGAGGUCACCCCGGCGGACGUGCCAAAUUACAUUUAUAUUGGAUCAAUUUGGAGCAAAGAACAGUCUUUCCAAAAAUAUCCUCUGUUUGGUUUCGCUCUUUCUUCGGCCAACUGUCUUUGCUGCAGGAAGCCGCCCACUCCUGGCUUUUCUUAACAUCAGCAACUUUUUACCCAGGAAGGUCUCAUCAAAAACAGGCAGCAUUUUCUCCAGGAUGGAGGGGAAGAUUUUCCUGUUUGUUUCGCCUGCGGAUUCCAAGAAAACGUAUCUCUAAGCUGAACGAACAGACGAGGGUCGGCCGAAACGGGCUGUAUCUUGGGCACCAGGUGGCACACAUGGGAGGAGAGAAAUUCACAUCCUUGGUCACAGAUACAAGGAAACAUUCCCGUAAAAAUAUCCACCAACUUCUAGGGAAAAUUUUCGGAAGCAUGAAAUGGGUACAGAACUCCAAAGGUCCUCAAACAAUUGCAGUGGGCAGAAGGCAACCUCCUUGCCAAAGCGCUGAAGGACUUAAAACGUUUAGAAUUUGGCAGAUAGAACUAUACCAAAGGCAGUGUGGACAGGCUGCAAGAAAGACCCACCUGCAGGAGAGGCACCCAGAUACCCAAAGGCGAGAACAAUGGUAUGUACUUUCUGGAUGAAGACAACAUCAGCUAAGCCUCCUUUAACCAAUUCUCUCAAGAGAGGGGAGAAAAAAAGAGCAAAACUUCUGAUCCAAAGCAGGCGGGGGAAGGGGAGAGGAAACAGCUAUUUCUGUCUUUCUUUUUUUAAUACAUUUUUUUCCCAUGACCAUGAGAUGACUUUUUAUUUAAUAGCUCAUCUCUAAUUUCUUAUUUAUUUCCUUUUUACAGCCACACCUGUGGAAUAUGGACGUUUCUGGGCUUGUGGUCAAAUCCGAGCUGCAACGUACAGGCUUAUGUCACAGCCACGGCAACACGGGAUCCAAGCCCCCUCUGUGACCUACACCGCAGCCUGUGGCAACACUGGAUCCUUAACCCACUGAGCAAAGCCAGGGAUGGAACCCACAUCCUCAGGGAUACCAGUUGUGCUCUUCACCUGCUGAGCCGCAACGGGAGCUCUGUAAUGGUCGUUUCUGAAACACAUCUAUUUUGAAAGCAUGAGAGAGAUUCUGCCAUCAGAGGACGGGGUGCGUCGUCGUGGUGCAAACGCCUCCGAUAUCUGAAAGCGUAAGGAGGUGGCACAUCUCAGAUCACACCCUGCAGAACACAACAGCGGAGAGGCAGAAGACGCACUCAGGGAACGCAGGACCCAAAGGAGAUGUCCAAUGCAGAGAACAGGGUAAGAGGUGUGCUGUUUUGUCCUCAUGGAGAGGAGAGAUCCAGCCAGCGCACAUACACGGAAUCACCCCGCACAACAAGCCUAUCCAACCAGAACACUAAACCGAAGAUAUACUCAAAGAAAACUUUCCUGGGCGUUCCCAUCGUGGCUCAGCAGAAAUGAAUCUGACUACCAUCCAUGAGGAGGCAAGUUCAAUCCCAAGCCUUGCUCCACGGGUUAAGGAUCUGGCAUUGCUGUGGCUGUGGUGCAGGCCAGUGGCUACAGCUCUGAUUCAAUCCCUAGCCUGGGAACCUCCAUAUGCUGCAGGUGUGGCCCUAAAAAGAUUUAGAAAAGGGGGGGGGGACUUUUCUGAGUUGGCAGACAUGGGUCCACAGAUGAAAGCUACCCGUGGAAUUGAAAGCAGCAGCAACAAUCUGUUAAUUCUGAAGCUGAGUUCAAAAUGCAAAAAUAACCAUGAUGUUUUUCUCUGACUCCGUUCACUUCCGAGGACACUGUGAGAAAAAGAACGUGUAUCUAUGUACGACUGGGUCCCUGUACACUGUACAGCAGAAACUGACAUAAGCUAUAAAUCAGCUAAAUGCUAAUAAAAAAUAAAAAUAUAGGAGGUCCAUUCUAGAUCAAACAUCCAUGGAAAAGGAGGGAUGGAAAAACCAACGUAAAAAAAUAAAAAGGCAGUCGGUGCAGUUCCCAUUGAGGCGCAGUGGGUUAAGCACCCACCGUAGUGUCUGUGAAGAUGUGGGUUUGAUCCCUGGCCUCGCUCGGUGGGUUAAGGAUCUGGCAUUGCCGCAAGCUGCCGUGUAGAUCACACGUGCGGCUCAGAUCUGGUGCUGCCGUGGCUGUGGGGUAGGCCAGCAGCUGCAGCUCCAAUUCAACCCCUAGCCUGGGAACCUCCAGAGGCCGCAGGC